UACAGAGGGGGCAAGCGUUGUUCGGAUUCACUGGGCGUAAAGGGUGCGUAGGCGGUCGGGUAAGUCUGAUGUGAAAUCUCACAGCUUAACUGUGAAACUGCAUUGGAUACUAUCCGGCUCGAGGAAUGGAGGGGAGACUGGAAUACUUGGUGUAGCAGUGAAAUGCGUAGAUAUCAAGUGGAACACCAGUGGCGAAGGCGAGUCUCUGGACAGUACCUGACGCUGAGGCACGAAAGCCAGGGGAGCAAACGGG
This 253-nucleotide ribosomal RNA is filed under the name uncultured bacterium. RNAcentral describes it as "partial 16S ribosomal RNA". It matches the Rfam family "Bacterial small subunit ribosomal RNA", at positions 524 to 776 of the family's 1533-position model. The record is from RNAcentral.